GAUGAACGCUGGCGGCGUGCCUAAUACAUGCAAGUCGAGCGAACAGACGAGGAGCUUGCUCCUCUGACGUUAGCGGCGGACGGGUGAGUAACACGUGGAUAACCUACCUAUAAGACUGGGAUAACUUCGGGAAACCGGAGCUAAUACCGGAUAAUAUAUUGAACCGCAUGGUUCAAUAGUGAAAGACGGUUUUGCUGUCACUUAUAGAUGGAUCUGCGCCGCAUUAGCUAGUUGGUAAGGUAACGGCUUACCAAGGCGACGAUGCGUAGCCGACCUGAGAGGGUGAUCGGCCACACUGGAACUGAGACACGGUCCAGACUCCUACGGGAGGCAGCAGUAGGGAAUCUUCCGCAAUGGGCGAAAGCUUGACGGAGCAACGCCGCGUGAGUGAUGAAGGUCUUCGGAUCGUAAAACUCUGUUAUUAGGGAAGAACAAAUGUGUAAGUAACUAUGCACGUCUUGACGGUACCUAAUCAGAAAGCCACGGCUAACUACGUG
Molecule: ribosomal RNA, 497 nt
Filed under: uncultured bacterium
Lineage: Bacteria
Description: partial 16S ribosomal RNA
Rfam family: Bacterial small subunit ribosomal RNA
Source: RNAcentral